CCUGCCUCAGUCUCUCCCGAGUAGCUGAGAUUAUAGGCCCCAGGCUGAAGGGAUGCUGAGAGGUGUUUGGGACCUGAAGGCUCUCUGCCCAGCUGAGUGGAGUCACCACACUUUCUUCUGGGUUUGCCCAUCAGCUCCAGCUCCCUGCCACGGCUUCCCUCAGCUAUCCUGUGUGCCCUCUUCUAAUCCCAGGACAGACUCAGGGACAUCACUGUGAUCCUCCCCACGUGGCCCAACCACGGUGCCAGGAACCAGGAGCCAGGAGCCACCCUAGGAGCUGGCGCCUUUUCCGAAGGGGGAAUGUCCUCCAAUUAAAAUUAACCUCGAGCCCAAGAA
This is a long non-coding RNA of Chinchilla lanigera (long-tailed chinchilla), 336 nucleotides long. RefSeq lists it as uncharacterized. Lineage: Eukaryota; Metazoa; Chordata; Mammalia; Rodentia; Chinchillidae. The transcript has 2 exons. The record is from RefSeq and is a predicted model, not a curated record.